GCUCAGUGGUAGAGCGAAUGCUUAGCACACAUGAGGUCCUGGGUUCAAUCCCCAG
Molecule: transfer RNA, 55 nt
Filed under: Camelus bactrianus (Bactrian camel)
Lineage: Eukaryota; Metazoa; Chordata; Mammalia; Artiodactyla; Camelidae
Also listed under: 2 other names
Rfam family: tRNA
About the family: Transfer RNA (tRNA) molecules are approximately 80 nucleotides in length. Their secondary structure includes four short double-helical elements and three loops (D, anti-codon, and T loops). Further hydrogen bonds mediate the characteristic L-shaped molecular structure. tRNAs have two regions of fundamental functional importance: the anti-codon, which is responsible for specific mRNA codon recognition, and the 3' end, to which the tRNAs corresponding amino acid is attached (by aminoacyl-tRNA synthetases). tRNAs cope with the degeneracy of the genetic code in two manners: having more than one tRNA (with a specific anti-codon) for a particular amino acid; and 'wobble' base-pairing, i.e. permitting non-standard base-pairing at the 3rd anti-codon position.
Source: Rfam by way of RNAcentral